AUUUUCCAGGCAUUUUGCCUGAAAAACAACUCCAAAUGAUCCAGUCCCCACAAUACGUUCAGCCAUGUAGCUGACUGUCUGCUUUGGCUCACCAUUUUUACCUCCGAUGGUAGUGGAAAUUAUAUGACCCGUGACUCCCCCAUUCACAUCCAUAACAGGAGCAGACAUCUCCUUAUCAUCAGCCAUAAUUUUCCAGCUCCUAAUCA
This 206-nucleotide unclassified non-coding RNA is filed under the name Hevea brasiliensis (rubber tree). The record is from RNAcentral. Lineage: Eukaryota; Viridiplantae; Streptophyta; Magnoliopsida; Malpighiales; Euphorbiaceae.